RNAcentral lists this long non-coding RNA (327 nucleotides) under Physcomitrium patens. RNAcentral's name for it is "long non-coding RNA (PPAT_LNC010359)". The record is from RNAcentral. Lineage: Eukaryota; Viridiplantae; Streptophyta; Bryopsida; Funariales; Funariaceae.
CAAUAAGCUUACGUUAAUAUUUUUAUUCAUGUUUCAAAAUCACUCAUAUAUUUUUAAAAACAACCUCAUAUACUAUUUCCAAUAUAAGUUUAUGAUAUUAUACAACCAAUUCAAACUAUCAAUUGUUCUCUAUUUACAUCAAAUUCACCUUAAGAAUUAGCAACAAUGGGAGUAAAUUCACAAUGAUCUUUUACUAUUGAUCCCGACUUAUAAAGUUGGUAGAAUUAUAAUCUUUUAGCAUAAUCUUUUGGACCAAUGGGAGAAAUAACAAAUGACAUACUAAAAUUGAUAGAAAGAUAUUUUUUUUCCAUCUAUUUAUGCUCUCUU